AACGCGAAGAACCUUACCAAGUCUUGACAUCCCUCUGACAGAUGGGUAAUGCUGUCGUUCCUACGGGACAGAGGAGACAGGUGGUGCAUGGUUGUCGUCAGCCCGUGUCGUGAGAUGUUGGGUUAAGUCCCGCGACGAGCGCAACCCUUAUCUUCAGUAGCCAGCAGGUAAAGCUGGGCACUCUGGAGAGACUGCCAGGGACAACCUGGAGGAAGGCGGGGAUGACGUCAAAUCAUCAUGCCCCUUAUGACUUGGGCUACACACGUGCUACAAUGGCGUAAACAAAGGGAAGCAGCCCUGUGAAGGUGAGCAAAUCCCAAAAAUAACGUCUCAGUUCGGAUUGUAGUCUGCAACUCGACUACAUGAAGCUGGAAUCGCUAGUAAUCGCGAAUCAGAAUGUCGCGGUGAAUACGUUCCCGGGUCUUGUACACACCG
This 435-nucleotide ribosomal RNA is filed under the name uncultured bacterium. RNAcentral describes it as "bacterial SSU rRNA". It matches the Rfam family "Bacterial small subunit ribosomal RNA", at positions 958 to 1392 of the family's 1533-position model. The record is from RNAcentral.